UACGAAGGGGGCUAGCGUUGUUCGGAAUUACUGGGCGUAAGGCGCGCGCAGGCGGCUAUCCAAGUCAGUGGUGAAAGCCCGGAGCUCAACUCCGGAACUGCCAUUGAAACUGUUUAGCUUGAGGACGAGAGAGGUGAGUGGAAUUCCCAGUGUAGAGGUGAAAUUCGUAGAUAUUGGGAAGAACACCGGUGGCGAAGGCGGCUCACUGGCUCGUAUCUGACGCUCAGGCGCGACAGCGUGGGGAUCAAACAGG
RNAcentral lists this ribosomal RNA (253 nucleotides) under uncultured bacterium. RNAcentral's name for it is "partial 16S ribosomal RNA". It matches the Rfam family "Bacterial small subunit ribosomal RNA", at positions 524 to 776 of the family's 1533-position model. The record is from RNAcentral.